UACGUAGGUGGCAAGCGUUGUCCGGAAUUAUUGGGCGUAAAGCGCGCGCAGGCGGUUCUUUAAGUCUGAUGUGAAAGCCCACGGCUCAACCGUGGAGGGUCAUUGGAAACUGGAGAACUUGAGUACAGAAGAGGAAAGCGGAAUUCCACGUGUAGCGGUGAAAUGCGUAGAGAUGUGGAGGAACACCAGUGGCGAAGGCGGCUUCCUGGCCUGUAACUGACGCUGAGACGCGAAAGCGUGGGGAGCGAACCGG
This 253-nucleotide ribosomal RNA is filed under the name uncultured bacterium. Its description in RNAcentral is "partial 16S ribosomal RNA". It matches the Rfam family "Bacterial small subunit ribosomal RNA", at positions 524 to 776 of the family's 1533-position model. The record is from RNAcentral.